Long non-coding RNA from Mustela putorius furo (domestic ferret), 556 nucleotides. The record is from Ensembl. Lineage: Eukaryota; Metazoa; Chordata; Mammalia; Carnivora; Mustelidae.
ACAGCGUCUGGUGCAGCAAAUGAUAGCUCUUCUUCUUAAUACUUUAUUAACUGUUAUUAUGGACCUAAAGCAUCCAGAGCUGCGCCUAUCUCUCAGUUCUCUUUUCUCCUGGACGAUGCCCAUUUUCUCAACGGAGGCCCUGCUUUGCAGCUAGGGAGCCCUUCAGUGCCAACCGCUCUAUCCCACGAGAGAGGGUGCACGCAGGGUAGAGGGAUUCAACCUUGGGAGGUGUCCCGGCAGCCAGUUACACACGCGGAAGGAGGGAGGCAAGAGAAGCAGCAACAGCACUGGCGGAAGUUCACCGAGUUGAUAAAGUUAUUAAAACAUAAAACACACACAUGCACCAGGCCGGGGGGGGGGGGAAUGCAUAAAAUCAAGCAACCCGCCGCGUCCAGCCCUUUACCUCCAGGCUGUGCAAAGCCAGGAGGGCGAGGGAGCGGGGAGAGGAGGAACGAGUCUGACAGAAGACACAGCCAGCCACAAGGUAUGAGAAAAUAUUUGCAAAGGAAGUGUCUGAUAAAGGAUUUCCAUUAAGAAUCUACAAAGAACCCUCCAA